UACCUGAAAUCAAGCAAGAACACCCGCUGAACUUAAGCAUAUCAGUAAGCGGAGGAAAAGAAACUAACUAGGAUUGCCCCAGUAGCGGCGAGUGAACAGGCAAAAGCUCAAGUUGAAAAUCCUUGGCACAAAGUUAAGGAAUUGUAAUCUAGAGAGGAUAUUCGGAGGGGAUGGUCGUAGCAUAAGUUCCUUGGAACAGGACGUCAAAGAGGGUGAAAACCCCGUAGUCGGCUACUACCGGAUCUAACGAAUGUUUUCGAAGAGUCGGGUUGUUUGGGAUUGCAGCCCUAAAUGGGAGAUAAACUUCUUCUAAAGCUAAAUAUUUAUGGGAAACCGAUAGCGAACAAGUACUGCGAAGGAAAGGUGAAAAGAACUUUGAAAAGAGGGUUAAAAGACUUGAAAUCGUUGAGAAGGAAGUGGUUAAAGAGUAAUCAUUUGUAUACGAUAAAUGUUUCGCUUCCCUGGCUUUGGCACGCUUUAGUACUUCAUAGGCUGUGUGUGUCAAACGUUAGGUAGCUAGGCUGUCUUCGUGUGCAAGAGGCAACAUGAAGUUUGGAAUCGGGAAUAAAUUAGUAGAACGACCCAGCAAUGGAGUCUAUUAAUGAAACCGGCACUGAGCUUGAGGGGCC
Molecule: ribosomal RNA, 629 nt
Filed under: Uronema marinum
Lineage: Eukaryota; Ciliophora; Oligohymenophorea; Philasterida; Uronematidae
Description: eukaryotic LSU rRNA
Rfam family: Eukaryotic large subunit ribosomal RNA
Source: RNAcentral